AGUUUGAUNAUGGCUCAGAGUGAACGCUGGCGGCAGGCCUAACACAUGCAAGUCGAACGGCAGCACAGUGGUAGCAAUACCAUGGGUGGCGAGUGGCGGACGGGUGAGGAAUACAUCGGAAUCUACCUUUUCGUGGGGGAUAACGUAGGGAAACUUACGCUAAUACCGCAUACGACCUUAGGGUGAAAGCGGAGGACCUUCGGGCUUCGCGCGGAUAGAUGAGCCGAUGUCGGAUUAGCUAGUUGGCGGGGUAAAGGCCCACCAAGGCGACGAUCCGUAGCUGGUCUGAGAGGAUGAUCAGCCACACUGGAACUGAGACACGGUCCAGACUCCUACGGGAGGCAGCAGUGGGGAAUAUUGGACAAUGGGCGCAAGCCUGAUCCAGCCAUGCCGCGUGGGUGAAGAAGGCCUUCGGGUUGUAAAGCCCUUUUGUUGGGAAAGAAAAGCAGUCGGUUAAUACCCGAUUGUUCUGACGGUACCCAAAGAAUAAGCACCGGCUAACUUCGUGCCAGCAG
RNAcentral lists this ribosomal RNA (515 nucleotides) under Xanthomonas translucens pv. translucens. RNAcentral describes it as "bacterial SSU rRNA". It matches the Rfam family "Bacterial small subunit ribosomal RNA", at positions 10 to 514 of the family's 1533-position model. Lineage: Bacteria; Pseudomonadati; Pseudomonadota; Gammaproteobacteria; Lysobacterales; Lysobacteraceae. The record is from RNAcentral.